Molecule: RNA transcript, 1933 nt
Organism: Syzygium oleosum
Lineage: Eukaryota; Viridiplantae; Streptophyta; Magnoliopsida; Myrtales; Myrtaceae
Gene name: OVARIAN TUMOR DOMAIN-containing deubiquitinating enzyme 9
Exons: 12
Source: RefSeq, a predicted model, not a curated record
GAUAUCCGCCAAGAAGAUUUUCAACAAAAUCACGGCCUGAACACCCGCGCCACGAUCCUUUCUUUCCCCCGACUUUCGGCGAUUCGUUACGUGUGCUGCAGUGAAACCCCACCCAUAAAACCACGGGAGGCGACAAAAAAGGGAAGAAGGAAAAGGUACGCAAGGUGGAGGACGAGCGGAUGCUUGCGCCUGUGCAAGAAAAGGAGAAGAUCUUUGGUUUUUUUCAAGCUGGGAAAGUUUUAAUUCUGGGUUCCAUACUUUGUGUUUGAUUCCAAGAUCUUUUGUUUUUCUCUAUUUCGUCGAGUCGGUUGUACAUUGCACUGGAUAACAUGACCAUGCACGACCAAGAUCCCAAUCUUGUACGCUGGGGCCUCCAUCAACUUCUGGAUGUUUGCUCUAUUUCCAAUGCCGGUUCAUGUGGCUGUGUAACUCAAUAUGAUCCAGACUUGAGUAGUGUCGAACACGUGAGAGAAGGCUACGUCGAAGCAGAUCAACCAGGCUACGUUGAAGCAGAACAACCAAGUGUGGAGAAUGAUGAGAUGAUUGCGCAUGCUUUGCAAGAAGAACUUUCACGACUCGCUCUUGAAGAAGCAUCUGGUGCGUCAACUUCUGGAAUCGAACAAUUACAAGCUUCGGUUUUGACCCAGGAUUGGCUCGCUCCUUCGGAGAGAUACUCUGAUGCUGAAGGAUGGGAAAAUGAUCAACGAUUGGAAGAUCGAAAAGAGGAUGGAGCACGUGAUGAGGUGGGAAAUGCUAAUUCAUGUUCCAGCUCAGGGUCUGAUUAUGAUGUGGAUAUGCUACACAUGGCAGAUGAAUCUGUGCUUGAUGGUGAAGUUAGCAAGAGGUUGAAUCAGAUGGUCCCUGUUCGUCAUGUGCCUAAAAUUAAUGGUGAAAUACCUUCUGUAGAAGAAGAGGUGUCGGAUCAUCAAAGGCUGCUAGACAGGUUACAGAUAUACGAUCUUGUUGAAAAUAAAAUCCAGGGAGAUGGUAACUGCCAGUUUCGUGCCUUAUCAGACCAACUAUAUCGAUCACCUGAGCACCACAGAUUUGUGAGGCAGCAAAUUGUUCAACAGCUGAAGUCGUGUCCAGAGAUGUAUGAUGGCUAUGUUCCAAUGGCUUUCGGCGACUAUUUGCAGAGAAUGAGCAAGAGUGGAGAAUGGGGUGAUCAUGUCACACUGCAAGCUGCUGCAGAUUCCUAUGGAGUCAGGAUUUUGGUGAUCACUUCUUUUAAGGACACGUGCUACAUUGAGAUCCUUCCACAUAUUUCCAAGUCUAAACGAGUCAUUUUCUUGAGUUUCUGGGCAGAGGUGCACUACAACUCAAUUUAUCCUGAAGGAGAAGCCACUGCUGUUUCCACCUACAAACUUUAUUUUUCCUAGUUGGCCACUCUAUUCUUGAUGCAAUUAAGCGGUACCAAGUGUGUGGCGACUGUAGUCCAGUUGGCCUGUUGAUUUCCUGUGGAUAUUCCUUAAAACUCUGAUAUGGUUAAUUGGGGAGCUGUAGUGGUGCUAACAUAGAUAGCUGCCUGAACUUUCAGACCAUAAAAAGAAGAAGUGGUGGUGGGUGUUCUGAAAUUAUGCUCGACCGUCCUCAUCAUUCUUGGAUUGUCACUUAAUGUUUUGUCAAUUGGAGCUCUAUAACAUUCUCCAUGCUUUGUCUUCGGAGGUCCAUUGUGAUGGCUAUGCUGUGUCUUGUGCAUCCAUGUAUAGCCCCGGGGUGAUGAUGUUGCAUAUAGGAUUUUAGCUAGUGACGACAGCCUUCUCUCAGUUUCUUUCUCUCUGUACAUAUUUUUCCUCCGAGCCCUCAGACUUUUGUUGAUCACCUUGUAUUUCAUCUUUUGUAAAUAGUGGGAGAGGGGUUCAGAUUCUCAUUGAUUGAUUGGUUCAUUAUUUGUACAAAUUAUAACAGGUUUUGUAGGCAUUCUCUUGUGCUA